RNAcentral lists this long non-coding RNA (386 nucleotides) under Sparus aurata (gilthead seabream). Its description in RNAcentral is "lncRNA (ENSSAUG00010008563.1)". Lineage: Eukaryota; Metazoa; Chordata; Actinopteri; Spariformes; Sparidae. The record is from RNAcentral.
GUGGAGAGUCAAGAGGAAAGAUGAGUGACUCCAGGAAACGACCCCUGGAAGAAGGGAUAGCUGCAUCAGAGAAGAGGAAACAAAAAGUGACUCAGCCACAGAGACUUCAUUAUGGCCUUUAUAAUCAAGGAAACACAUGUCACCUCAACAGUGUCCUGCAAGUUCUCUUCAUGACCACAGAUUUCCACGACAGGUUGGAUCCACAAAAGACCACAGACAAGGAGCUGAGGAACAUCUUUAAAAAACUGAAAGAAACAACAUGUGGAACGGAAAACAUCACAAAGGCUUUUGAUAUUAAAAAUGUUAAUCAACAAAGUGAUGCUGCUGAAAGCCUGCAGUUUAUCUUACAGAAGGUCAGCCCACGGGCCUCUAAGGUGAGCACUUAG